GGAAGGGAAUCGUAUCCCGGUGGAGCGCCCGGACUUCAAAUUCGGCGGGACGCGCAUGGCGUGUCUGGUGGGUUCGACUCCCACUCCCUUCCGCCA
Molecule: transfer RNA, 96 nt
Filed under: Noviherbaspirillum galbum
Lineage: Bacteria; Pseudomonadati; Pseudomonadota; Betaproteobacteria; Burkholderiales; Oxalobacteraceae
Description: Noviherbaspirillum sp. 17J57-3 tRNA-Sec
Rfam family: Selenocysteine transfer RNA
Source: RNAcentral